ACUUCCGCAUACUCCAGGCCCACUUUACAGGAGCAGCGUUCCCAACAGCCAAAAGGUGGGAGCAGCCCACGGGUCCACGGACGGGUGAAGGGGUGAGCAAACAGUCUAUACGGACAGUGGAGAGCUCUUUAACCGCAGAAAGAAGGAAAUUCUGCAUAUGCUGCAACAUGGAUGAAAGGCGUGAACUGUACACUUAAGCAUGGUUUAAACGGUAAGUGUUAUGUGAUGUGCGUUUUACCACCAUGUUUGAAAAAGGUUCU
Molecule: long non-coding RNA, 260 nt
Filed under: Homo sapiens (human)
Lineage: Eukaryota; Metazoa; Chordata; Mammalia; Primates; Hominidae
Description: HSALNT0216309
Source: RNAcentral